UUAAGUUAGAAAGGGCGCACGGUGGAUGCCUUGACACUAGGAGUCGAUGAAGGACGGGACUAACGCCGAUAUGCUUCGGGGAGCUGUAAGUAAGCUUUGAUCCGAAGAUUUCCGAAUGGGGAAACCCACCAUACGUAAUGGUAUGGUAUCCUUAUCUGAAUACAUAGGAUAAGGAAGACAGACCCAGGGAACUGAAACAUCUAAGUACCUGGAGGAAGAGAAAGCAAAUGCGAUUUCCUGAGUAGCGGCGAGCGAAACGGAACAUAGCCCAAACCAAGAGGCUUGCCUCUUGGGGUUGUAGGACAUUCUAUACGGAGUUACAAAGGAACGAGGUAGACGAAGCGACCUGGAAAGGUCCGUCGUAGAGGGUAACAACCCCGUAGUCGAAACUUCGUUCUCUCUUGAAUGUAUCCUGAGUACGGCGGAACACGUGAAAUUCCGUCGGAAUCUGGGAGGACCAUCUCCCAAGGCUAAAUACUCCCUAGUGAUCGAUAGUGAACCAGUACCGUGAGGGAAAGGUGAAAAGCACCCCGGAAGGGGAGUGAAAGAGAUCCUGAAACCGUGUGCCUACAAAUAGUCAGAGCCCGUUAACGGGUGAUGGCGUGCCUUUUGUAGAAUGAACCGGCGAGUUACGAUCCCGUGCGAGGUUAAGCUGAAGAGGCGGAGCCGCAGCGAAAGCGAGUCUGAAUAGGGCGUUUAGUACGUGGUCGUAGACCCGAAACCAGGUGAUCUACCCAUGUCCAGGGUGAAGUUCAGGUAACACUGAAUGGAGGCCCGAACCCACGCACGUUGAAAAGUGCGGGGAUGAGGUGUGGGUAGCGGAGAAAUUCCAAUCGAACCUGGAGAUAGCUGGUUCUCCCCGAAAUAGCUUUAGGGCUAGCCUUAAGUGUAAGAGUCUUGGAGGUAGAGCACUGAUUGGACUAGGGGUCCUCAUCGGAUUACCGAAUUCAGUCAAACUCCGAAUGCCAAUGACUUAUCCUUAGGAGUCAGACUGCGAGUGAUAAGAUCCGUAGUCAAAAGGGAAACAGCCCAGACCGCCAGCUAAGGUCCCAAAGUGUGUAUUAAGUGGAAAAGGAUGUGGAGUUGCUUAGACAACUAGGAUGUUGGCUUAGAAGCAGCCACCAUUUAAAGAGUGCGUAAUAGCUCACUAGUCGAGUGACUCUGCGCCGAAAAUGUACCGGGGCUAAAUACACCACCGAAGCUGCGGAUUGAUACCAAUGGUAUCAGUGGUAGGGGAGCGUUCUAAGGACAGUGAAGUCAGACCGGAAGGACUGGUGGAGUGCUUAGAAGUGAGAAUGCCGGUAUGAGUAGCGAAAGACGGGUGAGAAUCCCGUCCACCGAAUGCCUAAGGUUUCCUGAGGAAGGCUCGUCCGCUCAGGGUUAGUCAGGACCUAAGCCGAGGCCGACAGGCGUAGGCGAUGGACAACAGGUUGAUAUUCCUGUACCACCUCUUUAUCGUUUGAGCAAUGGAGGGACGCAGAAGGAUAGAAGAAGCGUGCGAUUGGUUGUGCACGUCCAAGCAGUUAGGCUGAUAAGUAGGCAAAUCCGCUUAUCGUGAAGGCUGAGCUGUGAUGGGGAAGCUCCUUAUGGAGCGAAGUCUUUGAUUCCCCGCUGCCAAGAAAAGCUUCUAGCGAGAUAAAAGGUGCCUGUACCGCAAACCGACACAGGUAGGCGAGGAGAGAAUCCUAAGGUGUGCGAGAGAACUCUGGUUAAGGAACUCGGCAAAAUGACCCCGUAACUUCGGGAGAAGGGGUGCUUUCUUAACGGAAAGCCGCAGUGAAUAGGCCCAAGCGACUGUUUAGCAAAAACACAGCUCUCUGCGAAGCCGUAAGGCGAAGUAUAGGGGGUGACACCUGCCCGGUGCUGGAAGGUUAAGGAGAGGGGUUAGCGUAAGCGAAGCUCUGAACUGAAGCCCCAGUAAACGGCGGCCGUAACUAUAACGGUCCUAAGGUAGCGAAAUUCCUUGUCGGGUAAGUUCCGACCCGCACGAAAGGUGUAACGAUUUGGGCACUGUCUCAACCAGAGACUCGGUGAAAUUAUAGUACCUGUGAAGAUGCAGGUUACCCGCGACAGGACGGAAAGACCCCGUGGAGCUUUACUGUAGCCUGAUAUUGAAUUUUGGUACAGUUUGUACAGGAUAGGCGGGAGCCUUUGAAACCGGAGCGCUAGCUUCGGUGGAGGCGCUGGUGGGAUACCGCCCUGACUGUAUUGAAAUUCUAACCUACGGGUCUUAUCGACCCGGGAGACAGUGUCAGGUGGGCAGUUUGACUGGGGCGGUCGCCUCCUAAAGUGUAACGGAGGCGCCCAAAGGUUCCCUCAGAAUGGUUGGAAAUCAUUCGUAGAGUGCAAAGGCAUAAGGGAGCUUGACUGCGAGACCUACAAGUCGAGCAGGGACGAAAGUCGGGCUUAGUGAUCCGGUGGUUCCGCAUGGAAGGGCCAUCGCUCAACGGAUAAAAGCUACCCCGGGGAUAACAGGCUUAUCUCCCCCAAGAGUCCACAUCGACGGGGAGGUUUGGCACCUCGAUGUCGGCUCAUCGCAUCCUGGGGCUGUAGUCGGUCCCAAGGGUUGGGCUGUUCGCCCAUUAAAGCGGUACGCGAGCUGGGUUCAGAACGUCGUGAGACAGUUCGGUCCCUAUCCGUCGUGGGCGUAGGAAAUUUGAGAGGAGCUGUCCUUAGUACGAGAGGACCGGGAUGGACGCACCGCUGGUGUACCAGUUGUUCUGCCAAGGGCAUAGCUGGGUAGCUAUGUGCGGAAAGGAUAAGUGCUGAAAGCAUCUAAGCAUGAAGCCCCCCUCAAGAUGAGAUUUCCCAUAGCGUAAGCUAGUAAGAUCCCUGAAAGAUGAUCAGGUUGAUAGGUUCGAGGUGGAAGCAUGGUGACAUGUGGAGCUGACGAAUACUAAUAGAUCGAGGACUUAACCAU
RNAcentral lists this ribosomal RNA (2920 nucleotides) under Bacillus cereus. RNAcentral describes it as "bacterial LSU rRNA". It matches the Rfam family "Bacterial large subunit ribosomal RNA". The record is from RNAcentral. Lineage: Bacteria; Bacillati; Bacillota; Bacilli; Caryophanales; Bacillaceae.